RNAcentral lists this transfer RNA (97 nucleotides) under Scedosporium apiospermum. It matches the Rfam family "tRNA". Rfam says of the family: Transfer RNA (tRNA) molecules are approximately 80 nucleotides in length. Their secondary structure includes four short double-helical elements and three loops (D, anti-codon, and T loops). Lineage: Eukaryota; Fungi; Ascomycota; Sordariomycetes; Microascales; Microascaceae. The record is from Rfam by way of RNAcentral.
GCUCCGGUAGCACAAUUGGUUAGUGCGUUGGACUUUUAACACCCAGUUAAAAACGAGGGUGAUCCAAAGGUUGCGGGUUCGACCCCCGCCUGGAGCG